AAUUGUUAAUAUAGAUAAUACUCAGAAAUCAGGAAAUAUACGGCUACCAGAUAUUGAUGACUGCAAUAAGCCUACAAAAUAUCAGGACAAUCCAUCAAAGCGUGUUGGAGAUAAUUUGUACACAAGAUUUUGUGACAUACACACAUACAAUAGGAAAUGCAAACGCUCAGAAUAUACAAUUCAACACUUUUUUAAAUAUUAUUAUAAUAAUAAAUAAAUUACCAUAAGUCCUA
Long non-coding RNA from Leptopilina boulardi, 233 nucleotides. RefSeq lists it as uncharacterized. The record is from RefSeq and is a predicted model, not a curated record. The transcript is spliced from 2 exons. Lineage: Eukaryota; Metazoa; Arthropoda; Insecta; Hymenoptera; Figitidae.